RNAcentral lists this small nuclear RNA (364 nucleotides) under Erinaceus europaeus (western European hedgehog). RNAcentral's name for it is "7SK RNA". It matches the Rfam family "7SK RNA". From Rfam's summary of the family: 7SK was discovered as an abundant small nuclear RNA in the mid-70s but a possible function has only recently been suggested. Lineage: Eukaryota; Metazoa; Chordata; Mammalia; Eulipotyphla; Erinaceidae. The record is from Rfam by way of RNAcentral.
GGAUGUGAGGGUGAUCUGGUGCGACAUCUGUCACCCCAUUGAUCGCCAAGAUUGAUUCGGCUGAUCCGGUUGGCUAGGUGGGUGUCCCCUUCCUCCCUCACUGCUCCAUGUGUGUCCCUCCCGAAGCUACAUGCUCUGCUCCCUCAAAGAGGAUGGCCUUUCCCGGAAUAGAGAUGGACCGGUCUCCAUUGAGGGUAUACGAGUAGCCUUUCCCGGAAUAGAGAUGGACCGGUCUCCAUUGAGGGUAUACGAGUAGCUGCGCUAUCCUGCUAGAAACUUCAAACAAGCUCUCAGAGAUGAGAAAGCUAGAGUUACUUGGAGAACAGAGAAGCUCAGCGUAGCUCAUCAUGAAUUGGGAUGCUCA